Gossypium hirsutum (cotton) is the source of this 144-nucleotide non-coding RNA. Lineage: Eukaryota; Viridiplantae; Streptophyta; Magnoliopsida; Malvales; Malvaceae. The record is from Rfam.
AAUUAAAAUUUCAUCCUUUGCCAUUGUUAAAAACUGGUAUGGUUGACAGAAUAACUAGACAAAUACACAUAGCAUGUCACGUGUACCUCAUGUUGAUGGACGGGGACCAGUUUUUAACAAUAGAAAUGGAUGAGAUAUUUAACA